GGACUCCAGUCUUGUGACGCACUCCCAAGGAUCCUGGAUCCAGAAGCGUGGGAUGGUCAUCAAAACUCAGACUAGCCAGCCGACCCAUCACGCAGGCGCAGCGAUCGUUGAUUGAGCAGCGAACGAAGCAAUACUAGGCUUGGGCGCGGGUCACAUGGCAUUUAGUAAAACCGGAAACGGUACUGGAUUCAGAGGCUAAGGGAACUUGAGAAAUUUCCUGUACUGUCCCUGAAUUAUCAUUGUCACCUCGUCCUCGUUAGUAUAGUG
RNAcentral lists this long non-coding RNA (267 nucleotides) under Mus pahari (shrew mouse). Its description in RNAcentral is "lncRNA (MGP_PahariEiJ_G0002725.1)". Lineage: Eukaryota; Metazoa; Chordata; Mammalia; Rodentia; Muridae. The record is from RNAcentral.